AAACGAUGGCUGGAAUUUGUCUCACAAGUAUUUAGGAGCAAAGCACAAUAAUCCACAUGAGGUCUUUUGCACUAACUUAAAUACCAAUUACCAAGCACUCUGUAAUUGAGAAUGACAAUAGUAUCGUCUAGACCAAACGAACUAUUACAGUACAAAAAAGGAACGCUUGAAGUGAAAUUCACAUAAAACUCAACAAUACUAAAUUAUUUAUUCUGCAACGCUGAGAUUCGUCUUACCAAGAAUCAUUUUCCUACUAUUGUCCAUGCCAUGCUAUCAUCCACCCACCACACUGAUAUCCAAUGUCGUAAACAUGGUUUCCUGCAGCUGAUCCUUGCCAUUUUUCAGAAGUACCCAAGACUAUGAACAGCGCUAGCAGCCAAUGAACCACAGGCAGAACAUAUUUCCAU
This 407-nucleotide long non-coding RNA is filed under the name Setaria viridis. Its description in RNAcentral is "long non-coding RNA (SVIR_LNC001385)". The record is from RNAcentral. Lineage: Eukaryota; Viridiplantae; Streptophyta; Magnoliopsida; Poales; Poaceae.